AUGGUCGCGGUUUCUCCUUUGUCUUUCAAUCCUUCACCAUUCAUCACCGACAUUGCUCACCACAUGAAAAAGAAAUUGAAGGGUGUGGUUAGUGUCCAAGUUAACAAUAUUAUACGCAACACAAAAAGAAACAAGUUCGUUCCAAGUUUUCAUCAAAUUCACUCAAAAAUUCCAACAAAAAGAAUAAUAAAGUCAUGA
This is a non-coding RNA of Vicia faba (fava bean), 198 nucleotides long. Lineage: Eukaryota; Viridiplantae; Streptophyta; Magnoliopsida; Fabales; Fabaceae. The record is from the annotation of a GenBank genome assembly.